This 1350-nucleotide ribosomal RNA is filed under the name metagenome. RNAcentral's name for it is "bacterial LSU rRNA". It matches the Rfam family "Bacterial large subunit ribosomal RNA", at positions 1564 to 2925 of the family's 2925-position model. The record is from RNAcentral.
UGAGUACGAGCUGCUACGGCAGCGAAGUGGGUGAUGUCAAGCUUCCAAGAAAAGCCCUAUACCCGUUAAGGCAUGACGGCCUGUACCCGAAACCGACACAGGUGGGGUGGUAGAGAAUACCGAGGGGCGCGAGAUAACUCUCUCUAAGGAACUCGGCAAAAUGGCCCCGUAACUUCGGGAGAAGGGGUGCCACCGCAAGGUGGUCGCAGUGAAGAGGCCCAGGCGACUGUUUACCAAAAACACAGGUCUCCGCUAAGUCGCAAGACGAUGUAUGGGGGCUGACGCCUGCCCAGUGCCGGAAGGUUAAGGAAGCUGGUCAGCGCAAGCGAAGCUGGCGACUGAAGCCCCGGUGAACGGCGGCCGUAACUAUAACGGUCCUAAGGUAGCGAAAUUCCUUGUCGGGUAAGUUCCGACCCGCACGAAAGGCGUAACGAUCUGGGCGCUGUCUCGGAGAGAGGCUCGGCGAAAUAGAAUUGUCUGUGAAGAUGCGGACUACGUGCACCCGGACAGAAAGACCCUAUGAAGCUUUACUGUAGCUUGGUAUUGUGCCCGGGCUCUGAAUGCGCAGGAUAGGUGGGAGGCUUUGAUCCAUUGCUUGCGGGUGAUGGUGAGCCAACGGUGAGAUACCACUCUUUCAGAGCUAGGGUUCUAACGGUCACCCGUUAUCCGGGGACCGGACAGUAUCAGGUGGGCAGUUUGACUGGGGCGGUCGCCUCCUAAAAGGUAACGGAGGCGCGCAAAGGUUCCCUCAGGCUGGUUGGAAAUCAGCCGACGAGUGUAAAGGCAGAAGGGAGCUUGACUGUGAGACCUACAAGUCGAACAGGGACGAAAGUCGGCCUUAGUGAUCCGACGGUUCUGAGUGGAAGGGCCGUCGCUCAACGGAUAAAAGUUACUCUAAGGAUAACAGGCUGAUCUCCCCCAAGAGUUCACAUCGACGGGGAGGUUUGGCACCUCGAUGUAGGCUCAUCGCAACCUGGGGCUGAAGUCGGUCCCAAGGGUUGGGCUGUUCGCCCAUUAAAGCGGUACGCGAGCUGGGUUCAGAACGCCGUGAGACAGUUCGGUCCAUAUCCGGUGCAUGCGCAGGAACAUUGAGAGGAUUUCUCCCUAGUACGAGAGGACCGGGAGGAACGCACCUCUGGUGUACCAGUUAUCGUGCCAACGGUAAACGCUGGGUAGCCAUGUGCGGAGCGGAUAACCGCUGAAAGCAUCUAAGUAGGAAGCCCACCUCAAGAUGAGUGUUCCCAUGGCAUAAGCCAGUAAGGUCACGGGAAGAACACCCGUUGAUAGGCCCUACGUGGAAGCGUGGCAACACGUGAAGCGGAGGAGUACUAAUAGACCGAGGGCUUGACC